Molecule: long non-coding RNA, 207 nt
Filed under: Elaeis guineensis (African oil palm)
Lineage: Eukaryota; Viridiplantae; Streptophyta; Magnoliopsida; Arecales; Arecaceae
Description: long non-coding RNA (EGUI_LNC014915)
Source: RNAcentral
UCCAAGAGGUUGUGAAGGUUUAUUCAGUUAUAUAGAGGUAGUCCCGAUGCUAUGUGGGCUUUAGAUAGGAUAAAUUCUAUAAGUCCAUGAUAGAUGGCCAUAGAUAGGGGGAGGAUGGUAGGAGAAGGUUAUAGUGGAGAGGGAUUCAAAGGAGAUGAUAAUGGAGGAGAAGGAAGAAAAGAUAAGAUAGCGAUGGAAAGAAAGGUU